Molecule: ribosomal RNA, 409 nt
Filed under: uncultured bacterium
Lineage: Bacteria
Description: bacterial SSU rRNA
Rfam family: Archaeal small subunit ribosomal RNA
Source: RNAcentral
GCGCGAAAACUUUACAAUGCACGAAAGUGUGAUAGGGGGAUACUCAGUGCUUACGAUUAUGUCGUAGGCUUUUGUCGAUCGUAAAUAGAUCGGCGAAUAAGUGGUGGGUAAGACUGGUGCCAGCCGCCGCGGUAACCCCAGCGCCACAAGUGGUCAUCACGAUUAUUGGGCCUAAAGCGUUCGUAGCCGGUUUGGUAAAUCUCUUGUGAAAUUGUUCGGCUUAACCGGACAGCGUGCAGGAGAGACUGCCAGACUCGAGACCGGGAGGCGUAAGAAGUAUGGCAUGGGGACUGGUAAAAUGGGAUAAUCCAUGCUAGACUACCGAUGGCGAAGGCAUCUUACGAGAACGGAUCUGACGGUGAGGAACGAAAGCUAGGGGAGCGAACCGGAUUAGAUACCCCGGUAGUCC